CUACGGGACGCACCAGUAGGGAAUCUUGCGCAAUGGGCGAAAGCCUGACGCAGCCAUGCCGCGUGAAUGAUGAAGGUCUUAGGAUUGUAAAAUUCUUUCACCGGGGAAGAUAAUGACGGUACCCGGAGAAGAAGCCCCGGCUAACUUCGUGCCAGCAGCCGCGGUAAUACGAAGGGGGCUAGCGUUGCUCGGAAUUACUGGGCGUAAAGGGCGCGUAGGCGGACAGUUUAGUCAGAGGUGAAAGCCCAGGGCUCAACCUUGGAAUUGCCUUUGAUACUGGCUGUCUUGAGUUCGGGAGAGGUGAGUGGAAUGCCGAGUGUAGAGGUGAAAUUCGUAGAUAUUCGGCGGAACACCAGUGGCGAAGGCGACUCACUGGCCCGAUACUGACGCUGAGGCGCGAAAGCGUGGGGAGCAAACAGGAUUAGAUACCCUCGUAGUC
This 439-nucleotide ribosomal RNA is filed under the name uncultured bacterium. RNAcentral's name for it is "partial 16S ribosomal RNA". It matches the Rfam family "Bacterial small subunit ribosomal RNA", at positions 339 to 795 of the family's 1533-position model. The record is from RNAcentral.